AACGGAAAAACCUUUCCUGGGUUAGACCAUGGUGGACAUCCCCCGAGAAGGGGCUUUCCCUUUGGGGAAUGCCGGUUCAGGUGCUGCAUGGCUGUCGUCAGCUCGUGUCGUGAGAUGUUGGGUUAAGUCCCGCAACGAGCGCAACCCCCGCCUUUAGUUGCUACCGGGUUAUGCCGAGCACUCUAAAGGGACCGCCGGCGUUAAGCCGGAGGAAGGUGGGGAUGACGUCAAGUCCUCAUGGCCCUUAUGUCCAGGGCUACACACGUGCUACAAUGGGCGGUACAGAGGGUUGCCAACCCGCGAGGGGGAGCCAAUCCCAGAAAGCCGUCCUCAGUUCAGAUUGGAGUCUGCAACUCGACUCCAUGAAGGUGGAAUCGCUAGUAAUCGCGUAUC
This 393-nucleotide ribosomal RNA is filed under the name uncultured bacterium. RNAcentral's name for it is "bacterial SSU rRNA". It matches the Rfam family "Bacterial small subunit ribosomal RNA", at positions 959 to 1350 of the family's 1533-position model. The record is from RNAcentral.